This 496-nucleotide ribosomal RNA is filed under the name uncultured bacterium. Its description in RNAcentral is "partial 16S ribosomal RNA". It matches the Rfam family "Bacterial small subunit ribosomal RNA", at positions 29 to 507 of the family's 1533-position model. The record is from RNAcentral.
ACGAACGCUGGCGGCGUGCCUAAUACAUGCAAGUUGAGCGCUGAAGGUUGGUACUUGUACCAACUGGAUGAGCAGCGAACGGGUGAGUAACGCGUGGGGAAUCUGCCUUUGAGCGGGGGACAACAUUUGGAAACGAAUGCUAAUACCGCAUAAAAACUUUAAACACAAGUUUUAAGUUUGAAAGAUGCAAUUGCAUCACUCAAAGAUGGUCCCGCGUUGUAUUAGCUAGUUGGUGAGGUAAAGGCUCACCAAGGCGAUGAUACAUAGCCGACCUGAGAGGGUGAUCGGCCACAUUGGGACUGAGACACGGCCCAAACUCCUACGGGAGGCAGCAGUAGGGAAUCUUCGGCAAUGGACGAAAGUCUGACCGAGCAACGCCGCGUGAGUGAAGAAGGUUUUCGGAUCGUAAAACUCUGUUGGUAGAGAAGAACGUUGGUGAGAGUGGAAAGCUCAUCAAGUGACGGUAACUACCCAGAAAGGGACGGCUAACUACGUG